AGAGGUCAGGACCAAAGUGGGUCAGAACUCCGUUCCUACAGUGCACUUGACUAGAGGCAUUUACAAAUUUGCUUUGAAGAAACAGUUUGGCUGUCACAUGCCAUGCGCAACCAGUGUUCCAUUCACCGUUGUCAACAAAGUCGUUAGUACUUGAAAAUCGAACCAGAGAAGACCAGUUCUCAAGAACAUGGCACUCAUCCAGGAGCCUGUCCCAAGGC
RNAcentral lists this long non-coding RNA (218 nucleotides) under Homo sapiens (human). RNAcentral's name for it is "HSALNT0253745". Lineage: Eukaryota; Metazoa; Chordata; Mammalia; Primates; Hominidae. The record is from RNAcentral.